Molecule: long non-coding RNA, 267 nt
Organism: Spea bombifrons (plains spadefoot toad)
Lineage: Eukaryota; Metazoa; Chordata; Amphibia; Anura; Pelobatidae
Exons: 3
Source: RefSeq, a predicted model, not a curated record
GGGAAGUGUUAAUGUGUUUAACCAUUGCAUUGUGUAUUAUUUCUCCUCUGUCAUUGUGGGGACUCCCUGAUCCAGACACCGUCCUAGACCAUUGGAGACAGAACUGUUAUCGCUUUUGAUCGCGUGCGUUGCUGCGUAACUAGAAAAUUCCUUGUUAAACUGAGCAGACUCUGCUGUUGUCUCCCAGGCUCCGUUGCCAUCUUGCCAGUCUCUGCUGCCAUCAAGGAUGAAGCCUAAAGCGGCAGCAGACCGCCAUCUGCAUCUACA